UUUCGACCUGAGCUCAGGCAAGA
Molecule: ribosomal RNA, 23 nt
Filed under: Botryococcus braunii
Lineage: Eukaryota; Viridiplantae; Chlorophyta; Trebouxiophyceae
Description: partial 28S ribosomal RNA
Source: RNAcentral